GUCUCCUGAGCAAGGUUCUUUCGUAUGAAUGGGGCUUCCUCCCUGAUCAACAAUGUCUGUGCGCUCCUUAUCAAGAUGCCAUGGAGGAUUUGGAGCACUGCUUACUUUUCUGUCCUCGCAUUAUAGAGAUCUAGGAGACCUUACAGGCUGAGCACUUAUCUGAUCUUUAUUUCAACACUUUAGAGGAUCUCAUCAAGCUAACUAUUGAUUCCAGAAUCCCUCAUC
Molecule: long non-coding RNA, 225 nt
Filed under: Elaeis guineensis (African oil palm)
Lineage: Eukaryota; Viridiplantae; Streptophyta; Magnoliopsida; Arecales; Arecaceae
Description: long non-coding RNA (EGUI_LNC032750)
Source: RNAcentral